GGGAGCGAGGGAGGGGACGGGGGGGGGAACAGCGCCGCCCCCUGCCGCUGGGGUCAGCCCUUCGGGAAGGUUUUCCCCACAGGGAAGUGAGGAUUUGCAUCCCUGGGAUGGGGCUGCCAUGGGAUAAUUAACCUAAUUCUCAAAGCUCGUUAAGGGGGGGUCAGGAAGGUGAGACACUUCACCCCCUCCCAUGCCAAAGCAUUUCCACUGUCCCCAUCCCUGGAAGCAACCUGGCAUGAAGCUCAGGGUGACCCUGAGCCCUGCCCUGACACAGCCACACAGAGGAGACACCUUCUCCCUGUACCCCACCCCAUGAGACCCUCCAGCCCUGCCUGCCCAGCUCUUCCCCCCACAAGGUGCAGCCUUCAGAAGCCACAGCUCAGAAAAUGGGAUCUAAGCCCAGCUGGGAAGGAGGAAUGACAUGAAAGUGCCCUGGUUUGAGCUGGAAUAAAACAAGGGGAAGGUGGUGGCUGUGAGGUCAGGCUGCCAGGGAGGAAUAAAGGACAGAACAAUCACUUGUGCUGGGACCUCAUUUUAUUGCAAGGGAAAUACAAAAGUUGGACAGCAGCGUUCAAGGACCACAGCACCCCCUGCUCCUGGGAAACAAGGAAGGACACUCUGUGCAGGUUUCCCAACCCAGUUUUCAGCUGUCUCACAUUCCAGACAGAAUUCUUCAGCAGAAGGGUAAAACAUCUCUUUCACAGUGCACCAGAGAGGGCUGAGCAGGUUUGGGCUCCAGACCCUUCCCCAUCUCUUCGCUGCUGGGGUUUUGUUCCCUCAGGGACAUUGAUUUAUAACUGCACGUGGAGAUUUACCUGGAUUUGUGGCAGGCAGGAAUCCAGUGCUCCAAAUGCCUGACAAAGAGACAAAACAAGCCCCAAACACCAGGCCCAGGCACACACACGUGGUGCCAGCUCCAGCAUGCCAAGGGCUGUGCAGAGCCAGCCCUGCCCCUCCAGCCUGACCUCUGCCAGGUGCCUGUUACACCUGAGCUGCAGAACCUGCUGCUCUUCCCACUCUGGGGUUUUCUUCAGCUGCAAGUGUUUGUACCUGUGACCCUGCUGCAAAGAGUGAGGACUUGGAAGUGAUGCAAUAAACUCCUCAAAUUCCUGAAGAGUGGGUCCUUGCUGGUCUGGCAUGACAGACAAGCUAGUCAGGCAUUACAGAUGUUCCAGCUGCCAGCAAACCCCCAAAACCAACUCCCUGCACCCACCAGCUUCAACAGGGCAGGGAGCAAAGUCAACAAGAGACCAUCAGCUGGGCUGGGGUGGCCUCGUCCUCCUGUGUGACCACAAUUCAGCCUUCAGAAGAGAUUACAAACGUGCUGAUAAUCCUUCACUGCCACCCUUUGCUUGCUACAAGGCAGGAGAUGCUCCUGAACUCCCACGUACAAACACCUGAGAGCAGGGACAUGAACACAGCCCAAAAGAAGUGGGUGGCAGCUCUGGAAAUGCAGUACCAGAGUCAUGGGUGCAGCUGAUUCUUCAGUGUCUGCCCCCAGACCAGAUGCCAUAGAAGGUCUGGAGAUUUUAUUUCAGUUUGGGCCAUUCUCCCAAAGAAUAACACAUUCCACUUCAGCCCACUGUAGUAACUCCAUCAUCCUCUAUUUCUGCAUUCAACAAAGGUGCCAGGAUAACCCCAGGACUGGUUCCUCCACAUGAUCAGAGUUCAAGGGCUGUUAAAACACACCAAGUGCUCAACCCUUCACCUGCACCUGCAGCUUCAGGCGCACCUCACACAGGAAAGUGUUCAUCAGGUCCUGGCCAGCCUCCCGAGCAAUCCUGCUGAUGACCUUUCCUCCUCUUCCAAUCAACAUCCUCUGUGUUCAAACCCAGAGAGAACAUCAUCAAACUCACCCUUGCACUGCCCAGGAGAAAGGUGCAGCCACAGAAGCAAUGAGGGAAAUUCUAGCAUUAAACUGUGAGGCAACAGAGUUGCCAGUACUGGGUACA
Passer domesticus (house sparrow) is the source of this 1952-nucleotide long non-coding RNA. RefSeq lists it as uncharacterized. The record is from RefSeq and is a predicted model, not a curated record. NCBI's taxonomy places the organism in Eukaryota, Metazoa, Chordata, Aves, Passeriformes, Passeridae. The transcript is spliced from 2 exons.